UGUGUAUGACGCUGGUUCCGCCAUUUCUUCAUGUGCGUUAUUGAAUAAAGACCACAUUUAAUACCACCUUUGUGACCAUACAUGUAACUACAGCUGUACCAUGCAAUCCAAAUUGGAUCACUGUCGAGGCAUCUGCCUAAUGCUUUGUGACACCAUUUGCUUACAUCUGUGCUAAAUAUAUCCUCUGUGCACUACUCAAAUCCUCUGUGAUGCCAGCUCAUGUGUAACGUGUAAUACUGCUGUACAUUCGAAGCUUUUAUAUAAAAAGUUGAACUUUUCUCUGUCUUACGUCACGCUUCUUACUGGAGCCCCGUAGUGGAUGAGCAUUCCACCCACCUACCUUCAUAAUACUGAAUACAGUCCCCUAUGUUUCCCCUUUGUCGAAGUCUGUUCCCCCAUGUUUCCCCUUUGUCGAAGUCUGUUUCCCUUAUGUUUCCCCUUUGUCGAAGUCUGUUUCCCUUAUGUUUCCCCUUUGUCGAAGUCUGUUUCCCCUAUGUUUCCCUUUGUUGAAGUUUCCCCUUUGUUGAAGUCUGUUUCCCUUAUGUUUCCCCUUUGUCGAAGUCUGUUUCCUCUUUGUCGAAGUCUGUUUCCCCUCUGUUGAAGUCUGUUUCCCCUACGUUUCCCCUUUGUUGAAGUCUGUUUCCCCUACGUUUCCCCUUUGUCGAAGUCUGUUUCCCCUUUGUCGAAGUCUGUUUCCCGUUUCCCUUUGUCGAAGUCUGUUUCCCGUUUCCCAUUUGUUAAAGUCUGUUUCCCUUUGUUGAAGUCUGUUUCCCCUAUGUUUCUCCUUUGUCGAAGUCUGUUUCCCCUAUGUUUCCCCUUUGUUGAAGUCUGUUUCCCCUUUGUCGAAGUCUGUUUCCCCUUUGUUGAAGUCUGUUUCCCCAAUGUCGAAGUCUGUUUCCCGUUUCCCUUUGUCGAAGUCUGUUUCACGUUUCCCCUUUGUUAAAGUCUGUUUCCCCUUUGUUGAAGUCUGUUUCCCCUAUGUUUCUCCUUUGUCGAAGUCUGUUUCCCCUUUGUUGAAGUCUGUUUCCCCUAUGUUUCCCCUUUGUUGAAGUCUGUUUCCCCUAUGUUUCCCUUUGUCAAAGUCUGUUUCCCCUUUGUCGAAGUCUGUUUCCCCUUUGUCGAAGUCUGUUCCCCCAUGUUUCCCUUUGUCAAAGUCUGUUUCCCCUUUGUUGAAGUCUGUUUCCCCUAUGUUUCCCCUUUGUCGAAGUCUGUUUUCCCUUUGUCGUAGUCUGUUUCCCCUAUGUUGUAGUCUGUUUUCCCUUUGUCGAAGUCUGUUUCCCCUUUGUCAAAAUCUGUUCCCCCAUGUUUCCCCUUUGUCAAAGUCUGUUCCCCCAUGUUUCCCCUUUGUUAAAGUCUUUUCCCCCUAUGUUUUAUGUUUUACAGCGCUACGGGGAACACUAAACGGGGAAACAUGGGGUUUGUGUAGACUUCGACACAACAGUUUACUUAACACUUUGUUAAGCGUUUAUUUUUUAUAUUAAUGUUUAAACACUCACCUAUCCCAACACUGUUUAGAAUAGCUUGAUAGAUACGGACUCUUAUUCAAAGCUAAAUGCUAAACAAUUCCCAUAUGCUGAUGUGAUUAAUCAUUUUGCUCUUUCAUUUCUCCCUGUGUCCAUCUCUCAACAGCAGCCCACCCAACAAGCAUGGCACAGUCAUCAACUGUAAAUAGGAGUGCUGUGUAAAUGUUAUGUUCAUUGGUUAUAUUGAAAAUGAAGUUUAUAUGCAAUUAUCCUGUAAGUAUUUUUAAUGUUAUAUUUUGCAUGAAGGUAAGGGUAAUUACAUUCUCAUGGCUAUUAAUGAACAAUGUUGUGAAGCAUUCUGUAAAAACUUGUAACUUAAUUAGUUUGUCCUGAGUAAAAUGCCUAUGUACACCUUUAACAUUAAAAUAUUAAGAACAUUUUUUAAUCUUGCAUUUUUUUUUAUUUGUAUUUACACAUUUGGGAAUAAAAUGUUACUGGGGGGGAAGGAAAAUACUAAUAAAAAGCUUCCAUAGUGGCUCAAAGCAUAAUCUAAAAACAAGGUUGGAAGCAGUUGCUUGCAAACAUACAUUUAAUAAAGCUCCAUUAGUGCCAUAGUACAUAAGCACAUAGGGAGCAAUGACAGACAAAAAACUAUACAUACAUGCAGAUACGCAAUGCUGCGUGAGGAAGCGCGCACAGCUUGAAACGUGUUUCAUACCUGCAUCUAUGUACAGCUUUUUUGUCUGUCAUUGCUCCCUGUGUAUGUUUGCAAGCAAUUGCUUCCAAUCUUGUUUUUUGAUUCUGGUAAUAAAAUGUAAAACACGCAUCAGCUACAUAUAUUUACAUACAAUUCUCAUUGCAGUUUACAAUUUCAGUCCAUUUUGCAUUGUAAGAAUUGUUUUUAUUUACAACAGGAAUUGCUUAUAUCAGUUUAAUAGGUUGUCACAACCGUCCACAUGUACCUAAAACUAUUUACAUGUUAUAAAAUUCUGCCUGAAGUUUUACAACUUAAUAAAGACAUCCAUGUAGAUGUUAUGAUAGAAAUUAUCCAGCUUCUAUCAAAAAAAUUAUCUUAACUGUGAAGUCAGUGUAGGUAUCUGUAAUGAAAUCACACCACUGAAGUCCACUUAAGGCCAGUUGGCCUUGAACCUGAUAAUAGUACAUGUGGCUCUAAUUAAGGCAGGUUUGACCUUUAACUGUGAUCAGGUGUUUAACUUGUGCAACAUUUUCAACAUCGCAACUCUUUACCUCAGUCAGCCCAAAUGGCGGUGUUUCUCUCUGGUUGAAAACUUAAGCUUCAGGGCUGGCUGCAAGGUGAGGUGCAUCAGGGUGGAUGAUGAUUCCACGUUGUGUCACAGAGACAUCACAAAAAUCUGAAUAUUGCCUCAGUAUCUCAGGUUCCAGAUCCAACCCUCUAUUCAUAGCACCUGUCUAACGAUUUCCUCUCAGAAUGCGAGCUGCCAAGGCUUUGGCGGAGACUCCCCGCGAACAUGGCAUAUUUCACGGAAUCUGCUGGAUGUAAUUCGGGGUUUGCGUACCUGGGUCCACAGCUGGCAUUUUGACUGCAGUCAGGUUUCUGCCUCAAUAGCAGCAGAGAUCUCCCGAGACACCUUUAGGCUCUCCAGUUGGCAUUGUUGCUUGUAGUUGGGCUCGAAAUCUAUUGGAAAUUUAAAGUUGUAACAGGCAACUGAGGAAACUCAGGUGCACCAGAGUUUUUAAUAAUAUCUCUACUUAUUUCAGGAGGGCACUGGUAAGAAUUUAAAUUACUGGUAGUAAUUUAGAGUCCACCAAAUGAAGACUUUCAAGUCCGUGCAGCAAUCUGCAUAUCCCCGGUUGUAGACGGAUAUCUUUCAGUUUCUCCCUGCUGGCCAUGACAUGAGGAUCCAGAAGCGGCCCUGACAUAAAAGUCAGUGCCUAGCAAAAUCAUUGACAUCAGACUGAAAAACACACUGAACCAGAGUGGAACUUCGUGGGAUACUGCAAAGUCUCUGCAAAUGCAGCAGAACACAACAAAAAGAAAACGUAACUCUCUAA
This is a long non-coding RNA of Myxocyprinus asiaticus (Chinese sucker), 3497 nucleotides long. RefSeq lists it as uncharacterized. The transcript has 4 exons. Lineage: Eukaryota; Metazoa; Chordata; Actinopteri; Cypriniformes; Catostomidae. The record is from RefSeq and is a predicted model, not a curated record.